Molecule: long non-coding RNA, 156 nt
Organism: Lepidothrix coronata (blue-crowned manakin)
Lineage: Eukaryota; Metazoa; Chordata; Aves; Passeriformes; Pipridae
Exons: 3
Source: RefSeq, a predicted model, not a curated record
CCUGCACACACUGUGCCUCGUGAGUGUCAUACAAGGCAGCUUUGGGUCGGGGGCUGCCCAGGUCUGUAGAGCUCUUCCACCCAGCACAAGCCCAAGACCUUGGAAACCACUGGAGCCUGACACACCUCUCCAGGUGUUAUAUAAGAUUUAUCCCUG